UACGUAGGGUGCAAGCGUUGUCCGGAAUUAUUGGGCGUAAAGAGCUCGUAGGCGGUCUGUCGCGUCGGAUGUGAAAACCCAGGGCUCAACCCUGGGCCUGCAUUCGAUACGGGCAGACUAGAGUUCGGUAGGGGAGACUGGAAUUCCUGGUGUAGCGGUGAAAUGCGCAGAUAUCAGGAGGAACACCGGUGGCGAAGGCGGGUCUCUGGGCCGAUACUGACGCUGAGGAGCGAAAGCGUGGGGAGCGAACAGG
Molecule: ribosomal RNA, 253 nt
Filed under: uncultured bacterium
Lineage: Bacteria
Description: partial 16S ribosomal RNA
Rfam family: Bacterial small subunit ribosomal RNA
Source: RNAcentral